Long non-coding RNA from Octopus bimaculoides (California two-spot octopus), 1018 nucleotides. RefSeq lists it as uncharacterized. The record is from RefSeq and is a predicted model, not a curated record. NCBI's taxonomy places the organism in Eukaryota, Metazoa, Mollusca, Cephalopoda, Octopoda, Octopodidae.
UACAAACCACAACAUUAAUUCUUGUGUGGUCAGCUCAGUGCAUUUAUUACAUCGAUUAUAUAUCACAGUGUUGUUCCAGCACGUGACGGGAUGUGAGCCGCCACAGACCCGCCUGGUCGGCGGUGUUCGUCGCAGCGGUGUACUUCAGCUGCUGUAUCACCAAUGCUGAAGAUUUCAUAAGAAUUUACAAGACAUAUCGGUGCAUAUGGAGGGGGCAUGGUUUCAAUCGACGAAUGGGUUUGGUUACAUGAAAUUGCAGGAUUUCAGUUAACCCCUUUCAGUUUGUUAGCUUUUAAUCCCUUCUAUCACAAUGAAUUUUGAUUAUUUCAGGAUACAAAACCUAUCACAACUGAAUCAACAAAAACCGCGUUGUUGGUAUUUACCAUUAUUUACAAACGUGGUGUCUAUCACUCUCUUCAUGGAGAAGCACAUCCGUUAAAUAUUGUCUUGUAAUGUCAAGUGGCCUAUUGUAUUGCGUGGCACUGCUACAGCAAAAUACAAACCUCGACAAAUCGAAGUCACUGUAUAUUCUGAAUAAAGCGACACACGAUCGAUUUUCUUUCAUUGUUAGUGGUUGCGGUAGUAGUAAGGUGGUCUGAUCAUGUUUACGGAAAGGCAAGCUUCUUGUUGAAGAAAUGAAAGUGAAAUAUCACCGAUUCAGAUGAAAACUUGCGUCCCCCAUCAUAUAUAUAUAUACACACACACACACAUAUUUAUAUGGAGGGAGAAUUAAUUUAGUAACUGGAACAAAAUGAGUAACUUGUAAUUUCUCGUUAUUUUCUCCCCCCCCCCUGUUUGAAAUCCUUACAUCGCAAGUACCGAAUCAUUAUUCUAAACUGUUGCAUCAUCUUUUGGAGUAAAAAUUGGUCAACAUAAUUAUUGUUGAAGUUCAGAACGUCUGAAACAUAGUCAGGUGGUAGGUCCCCGUUUUUUGGAGUAAUUUUUCCUCAACUUUCAUCCGAUUGUAAUUGAGAUUACUAAUAAAAUAUCUGGAUAAUUUUUGGUGUUUAACAAUUAA